RNAcentral lists this ribosomal RNA (293 nucleotides) under uncultured microorganism. RNAcentral describes it as "partial 16S ribosomal RNA". It matches the Rfam family "Bacterial small subunit ribosomal RNA", at positions 505 to 796 of the family's 1533-position model. The record is from RNAcentral.
GUGCCAGCAGCCGCGGUAACACGUAGGGUGCGAGCGUUGUCCGGAAUUAUUGGGCGUAAAGAGCUCGUAGGCGGUGUGUCGCGUCGGCCGUGAAAACCUGCAGCUUAACUGUGGGCGGGCGGUCGAUACGGGCAUCACUGGAGUUCGGCAGGGGAGACUGGAAUUCCUGGUGUAGCGGUGAAAUGCGCAGAUAUCAGGAGGAACACCGGUGGCGAAGGCGGGUCUCUGGGCCGAUACUGACGAUGAGGACCGAAAGCGUGGGGAGCGAACAGGAUUAGAUCCCCUGGUAGUCC